UACAGAGGGUUGCCAAGCCGCGAGGUGGAGCCAAUCCCUUAAAGCCGAUCGUAGUCCGGAUCGUAGUCUGCAACUCGACUACGUGAAGUCGGAAUCGCUAGUAAUCGCAGAUCAGCAUGCUGCGGUGAAUACGUUCCCGGGUCCUU
Molecule: ribosomal RNA, 146 nt
Filed under: uncultured Thauera sp.
Lineage: Bacteria; Pseudomonadati; Pseudomonadota; Betaproteobacteria; Rhodocyclales; Zoogloeaceae
Description: partial 16S ribosomal RNA
Rfam family: Bacterial small subunit ribosomal RNA
Source: RNAcentral